ACAACAACUUUUUGAUAAUGUUAAUCAAAAAAUAGAUGUUAUCAACUCCUUGGAUCAUUAUAGCAAAAAUAUUCAUGCUGCUGCCAAUACCUAAUAGAUUGGCCAUGGAACGAGUUUGUCAAAAAUGGAAAGAAGCCUGUAAACUAGAUUGGUAUGACAUUAAAAAAUACAAAUGUAAUCAUUCAAUCGGUCGCGCUUAUGAUGACCAGUUGCUGACACAAUCAUAUGUCGAAAAAUUAUUAUUACAAUGUAGUAUUUAUUUAACUGAAUUGUCUUUUUUAAAAAUUUGCACCUCAAGUAUCAUGCCAAUGAUUGGUGAGAAUUGCAAAUACUUGACGAGACUUGAAUCUGUUCAUAACGGUGAAUUAAAAACCAAUGCCAAUGACUACAUUGAAACGUUUACAAAAUUGAAAAAAUUAAAAUUUAUUAACAUACAAUUAAUUCAUAUGGAUUGGUGUCUCAGAAGAAAGUUUCCUUGGGAAACAAUCAAUUAUCUUCCAGAAGAAAUAAAUGAAAUUCAUUUAAUCCAUGAAGACCACUUAUAUUCCAGAAACCAGUGUUUUUCGAUUCAAAAAAAUUCAAAAAUCUUCACAGUUUGACAUUGAGUGCGGCUGCACUUUAAACGAAAUUUUUUAAGGAAUGUCAGAAAAAACAUCACUUAUUUAUCUCGACCUUAUAAAUUUCCGUGUCACCAAAAAAUGCUUAUUUAAUAUUGGUCAUGUAUUUACUAAAUUUGUAAACUCGGAGCAUAUCAGCAUUACAAUUCACAAAUUAACUUUGAAUGUCUUCACUUUUUAUUUUUUAAUACAUGUAAAAAUAUAAGAUAUCUUGACGUACCAUCGUGGUACAAUCAGGAUAAAUUUGAGAUUUCAAUUGAAAACUCGAAAAACCUUAAGAACUUGGAGCAUCUGACUAUUACUUGGAAACUUACUGAUAAAAUUGCAAAUCAACUUGUUAAAUAUUACAAGAAUUUUUGACAACGUCCAUAGACGAUACAAUAAAAACUGUUCUGCAAAAAUUGACAAAACUAAAAAAUCUUGAAUGUUUGAAAGUUAGACACGUACUUGAUUUCGAUGCUAAAACUAUAAUUGCAAUAUCAAAUAAUUGUAGAAAACUUAAAAUUCUGGAAAUAAAUGGCGGUAGUAUUAUGAUUUUGGCUCUUAGCCAACCUCACCUUCCAUCGGUUCUUAAUUAUUCAAUAAAAUAGCAUUAUCUUGAACAAUUAAAAUUGCCAUUGAUAACCAUGAAUGAAUUUCACGAGAGUAGUAUUAUUGCUUUCGUUAAUACUUGCAAAAAUUUGACAAAACUGGAUAUAAGAAAUUGCUGGGAUAUUAUUGAAACAAUUCUCUUAAUGCUUUAACCAACUUUCAAUCAUUAAAAAAAAAUAAAGGUUGAUUAUAUGGAUAAUGUAACAGACAAUUUUAUCUCCAAAUUAAAAGGAAUAAAAUGUUUCGAUCGUAGCGGUUGCAAAAGAAUUACUGACGCUGGUCUCAUUCAAUUGAUAAAUAAUUAUUGUCCUGAUCUUGAACAUCUUGAUCUCUACGAAACCCAUAUUACGACAUGAUGUAUGUUCGAUACUAAUAUAAAUUAUUUGUUGUCUAAGAAAGAUGAAGUAUUCUCAAAUUCAUCAAAUUAAAAAACCACAAUGCUGAAUAAUAUUGUUA
Molecule: long non-coding RNA, 1664 nt
Filed under: Aphidius gifuensis
Lineage: Eukaryota; Metazoa; Arthropoda; Insecta; Hymenoptera; Braconidae
Description: uncharacterized LOC122859458
Source: RNAcentral